Magnolia sinica is the source of this 983-nucleotide long non-coding RNA. RefSeq lists it as uncharacterized. NCBI's taxonomy places the organism in Eukaryota, Viridiplantae, Streptophyta, Magnoliopsida, Magnoliales, Magnoliaceae. The transcript has 3 exons. The record is from RefSeq and is a predicted model, not a curated record.
CAUAAAUACUGAAAUAGGUAAAAUAUAAUAAAAUUUCAUGAUAUGUGCUGCAACCAAACAUUACCAUAAACAAAUAGGCAUUCUAUGGGAUGCUUUGCAAGCGCUUGCACCACUCCCAUGAAUCUAGCUAUCGGACUGUGGUAUCCACUUGAAAACAGAGCAAUGGUCCAAAUUCCACGGCGAAGCUCAUAAUAGCUAGAUGGUCAGGGUUGUCCCAUCACUGCGGGGUUUUCCCAACAGUCCAUUCAUGCAGUGGCCCAUAAGAUCUACAUCCCCGGUCACCAUACAUGCAUAGAACUAAUAUGUCAAGCCGUUGCAGGGCUCGUGUUAGCUUCCCUUGCAUCGCACAAACAUGGAGUUGAGUUGCCAUUAGUGUUUUUCUCCCAUUACAAGCAUUGAUUAUUGAGUUGUAAGAUAUUUAUUCAGAAAAGGACAGAACUUUGCUGUAUUAAGCAAGUAACUGAUUGCAUUUUCAAGACUGUCCUUUUCAUCUCUAUGGGCCAUUUUGAGAAAUUUCAUUUUCAUUAUUGGACAGCGGAAAUUUCCUUGCUCAUGUGUCUGGAAAAUAUGAUUGCUUCUUAGUCUAUUGCUUCUUAGCUAAAUUGCAAAUCCAAAGCUCAAGUGAAGUAUGUGGAUCAAAGGAAACUUGUGCAAUGAUCAGAACGAGUGAAGUCUGUGGAUUUGCAUCCAGUAGAACCAUGCUCGCUCUCUGUAUUUGCACUGCAUCCUUUAUAUUUCAGAGUACCAGCACUUUCAGAAAAUAUGCCAGAGGAUAUUAAGCAAGAAAUCUUGAAGGAAAAAAGAACGGCUAGAUGGAAAGGUAUUGCCUCCUGCAAAAUAGAGAGAAAUGUAAAGGAGAUUGGUGCAAAGGGAAGAGGAUCUUUGUAGCACGUGUCAGAUUUGGGAUAUUCAUCAGUUGGGGACCAGACUCACCAAGAAAAGAAUGAUGACCUUUUCUUUGUAUUCUCAGCAUUAUUGUAAUU